This 271-nucleotide long non-coding RNA is filed under the name Carica papaya (papaya). RNAcentral describes it as "long non-coding RNA (CPAP_LNC007305)". The record is from RNAcentral. Lineage: Eukaryota; Viridiplantae; Streptophyta; Magnoliopsida; Brassicales; Caricaceae.
UGAUGCCAGUAAGAAUUAGGGUCAGGUGGAGGGUGCGGCGGCGAAGCCCAUGUAGGCGGAUGUGGCGGCGAGGGUGAGUGGGCCAAAUGUUUGGGCCACAUGUGCAUCAGAGAUUGAUCGACGGUGGGAUGACCCCAGACGUGUAAGGGUCUAAAGUGGGGAUGAGGAGGGAAACCAAUGGUAGGUGUAAGCCAUGGAUUGAUGUCUCUCUUCCCUCCUCCUCCUCCUCCGCCGACGCCGCCACCUGUCACCGCAGCUCCGUACAUUUGCC